GUGUGUUACAAUUUAACGUUGCGUCGUUUGUUUUCUCUUAUUUUUUAGUGUAAAUUGACAUUGCGAUAAGACGUGUCACGGUACUUGUCUAUCCCAAAUUCAUGUAUUUGGUUUUGAUGGUAUAUUUGUUAUUCUCGUGGGAUUUUGUCUGAUGCUUGGUCCGUUUCUGUGUGUGUUAGUUACAUUGUAGUGUUGUGUCGUUGUUCUCCUCUUAUAUUUAUGCGUUUCCG
RNAcentral lists this long non-coding RNA (230 nucleotides) under Mytilus galloprovincialis (Mediterranean mussel). Lineage: Eukaryota; Metazoa; Mollusca; Bivalvia; Mytilida; Mytilidae. The record is from RNAcentral.